Molecule: long non-coding RNA, 652 nt
Filed under: Pan troglodytes (chimpanzee)
Lineage: Eukaryota; Metazoa; Chordata; Mammalia; Primates; Hominidae
Description: lincRNA
Source: RNAcentral
UAGAUGAUUGCUCCACAUCCAGCACCUAACACCAGUACUCAGUUAAAUUUUUUGCUGAAUAAAUCAAUGAAUGGAGAGGUAAAGAGGAACCAGAAGUUGGGGUUACAGAAGUCACUGAUGGAAGAGUUUCAAGAUAGUAGAAGUGGUCAGCCCUGUUAAGUGACAAGCCAAGGACUGAAGAAAGACUGGCAGAUUUGGCAAUCAGAUGAAGUGACCUGACCAAAGAGCAGCUUGUGUGAAGUAGUGAGGACAGGCGCUGGUCUGCGACUGGUUUAGGAGGAAAUGGAAAUGAGGAAGAAGAGAUAGAGUCUCGCUCAGUUUCCAGGCUGGAGUGUAAUGGCGUGAUCUUGGCUCACUGCAACCUCUGCCUCCCAGCUUCAAGUGAUUCCCCUGCUUUAGCCUCCCAAGCAGCUGGGACUACAGGCAUGCACCAGCAUGGCCGGCUAAUUUUUUUUUAUAUUUUAGUACAGAUGGGGUUUAACCAUGUUGGCCAGGAUGAUCUUGAUCUCCUGACCUCGUGAUCUGCCCACCUCAGCCUCCCAAAGUGCUAGGAUUACAGGCGUGAGCCACCUUGCCCGGCCUUCUAUUCCUUUUUCUAAUGCAUUUGCCCCAGCUAUCUGUAUAGCCUGCAAUCUGGUAGAUGGACCACAGG